Non-coding RNA from Schistosoma margrebowiei, 48 nucleotides. NCBI's taxonomy places the organism in Eukaryota, Metazoa, Platyhelminthes, Trematoda, Strigeidida, Schistosomatidae. The record is from Rfam.
AUCCAGCUGACGAGUCCCAAAUAGGACGCAGUGGUGCGCGUCCUGGAC